GAUAGAUAUUAAUUUAAAUAUUUAAUCUAAGAAUAUAAGGGUAGAGCUUUAUCAUUCAAUAAUAAAUGAAAUAUAAGUUAAUAAGUAUUUAUUUUGAUAAUUAGGUUUUUUAGUGGCCAUAUUUUUAAAGUGUUUUAACUAAUAUAAUUGAAUAAUUUAUUUAUUAGAUUUUAUUAAAUUAAUAAUAUGUUUUUAAAAUGGAUAAAUAUUAGAAAUAAUGAAAAUAUUAGUAGAAUUAAUAUAUGAAGAAAAAAGAAAAGUAUUAAAAGUAAAAUAUGAAAAUAGUUAAGAAAAAAAUAGAGGAACUCGGCAAAUAAGGUUCUUGCCUGUUUAACAAAAACAUGUCUCUAUGAAGUUAUAUGAAGUCUGACCUGCCCAUUGAAAUUUAUUAAAAGGCCGCGGUAUAUUAACUGUGCAAAGGUAGCAUAAUUAGUAGUUUUUUAAUUGAAGGCUUGUAUGAAAGGUUGGACAAGGGAUAAGCUGUCUUUAUUUUUAUUUUUGAAUUUGUCUUUUAAGUGAAAAGACUUAAAUAAGUUUAAGGGACGAUAAGACCCUAUAAAUCUUUAUAUUAGUUUAAUUUUAUUUUAAAUUUUAAUGUUUAAAAGAGUAAAGUUAAUAUAGUAUUGUAUUGGGGUGAUAGGAAUAAUUAGUAAACUGUUCGAAGGUAUAAACAAAAAUAUUUGAUUAUAAUUAUUAGUAGAUCCUUAGUGGAGAUUACAAGUUUAAGUUACUUUAGGGAUAACAGCGUUAUUUUUUUUGAGAGUUCUAAUCGAAAAAGAAGUUUGCGACCUCGAUGUUGAAUUAAAAUUUCUUUGUGGUGUAGUAGUUACAAGAGAGAGUCUGUUCGACUUUUAAAAUUUU
Molecule: ribosomal RNA, 861 nt
Filed under: Allogalathea elegans
Lineage: Eukaryota; Metazoa; Arthropoda; Malacostraca; Decapoda; Galatheidae
Description: partial 16S ribosomal RNA
Rfam family: Bacterial large subunit ribosomal RNA (bases 738-861)
Source: RNAcentral